CCCGUGCCUGCCUGCAUGGCUAAUACUUGGGCAAAUAAAUAACUAAGAGAAUUAAGAGAAGGUCUGGUGCCCCUAUCGCAGCACGUCUGAGACGGGUUUGAGUCCUGAAGGAGCUGAGUGACCUCUUCCUACAGAGAAAGUAUGGGCGGGCCCCCUCUGAAGUCUCACCUUCUGUGCAGUACUGGACAUCUGGCCGUGGGCUGAUGUGACUGAGAUCUGCAGGCAAGCCUACAGAAAGAAUCAGUGAGCAUCAUAUCCAGCCUGUCUUCCUGUAGUGAUCUGCUUUCUGCAUGAGGACAGGAAGAGUUACGUAUGUGGCAGCGCAUUGGCAUUCUGCAAAGAUGCAUUGAGAUUGAUACUGGACACUGAGGGACAGAGGGAUGAGAGGAUCUGCCUUCCCUGGAGACCGCAGGCCUGCAGCCUUUGUAUUCCCACUGCUGCCAAAUGCCUGCCCUACUCAAAAGAAUAGAGAAUUAAGCACAAAUUUCCUGGUCUCUAAGUUUCCUUGUAUAGCAGACUAUUCGUCAAAUCCUGAUCAGAAGGUGAGGUUUUAGGAAAAUGAGUUCUUUUCAUGAUGAAAAAUCUUGCGGCUUCUUCCCCAUAACAGCCUGUUGUUAUGACUGGGGACAGAAGGAUGGGUUAAUCGUGGCCCCAUUUCCUGCAGUCUCCUGCAGUCAUGAUUUGUGAAUGCCUGAGAAUACCCCUGCUGAAUUCUAAUUGUUUGUGACAGUCGGCACAUGAUUUCAAGUGUUUGGUCACAGCAGUGUUCGUUUUCUGCUCUUUUAAUCUUUGAUGGAUGUUGCGCCUGGCUUCACUGAUGUGGUUCACGACACAGUAGGCAGUGAUUUCCUAUAAGAUGUUUUGUCUCAACUACAGAGGUGCGGAGUUCCUAUACGAUGGCCAGUAUUUAUUAAUGAUGUCCCAAGGUUUCUAAAGAGAAAGCUCUGCCGUAGACCAUUAGAACCUAAUCUACUCCAAAAUGUCAGAUGCAGUUAAGCAAGAGUUAUCUAGACUGCACUGAGACUUUCCUCAUUAGUUCAGACUCUGAUUAGGAGACUGAUUAAAGGCUUUCUUUCUGUAAAGGUUCACUCUUUAUCUUUGCAGAUUUCGUUACUAUGUAAGACGUGAUAGAGCUAGCUUAAGGCUCACGCAAAUAGUAAAACUAAAAAGCAUUUGUGCGUAUGCAUCUGCACAGUGAUUCAAGCCCUUGCAGCACGCAUGCAUGCUUUUUAAAAUGCCCUUAACUAGUAACAAGAAAAAUGUUCAUUUUGAGACAUGAAUAGGGUUGUUCAUCUUUCAGGCUGUUCAGAUGGUGUUAAUAGAAUGCAAUUGUAUACAAGGUCAGAUUUUCAUAUCAUAUGUAAAACUGUAGGAUUAAGAUUUUAACAGCAAUUUGAGGUUGCUGGGAUACAAAGUAUUUUGUUCAGAAUACUCUGAAUCUGAAUUCAUUACAACUAACCAUAUUGCUUCCUGUGAUUUAACCGUUGCUCUCUGUUCACGCUAAGCUAUGUAAUUGUGACAGUGCUGAAAUAUUUAAGGCUCCUCCUAAUAUUUUACCCACGAACAGCAUUAAGCUUUGGCAUAUGCCUUUAAAUUUCUCAUCUCAGUGAAGAUGGUAAUUUAAUGUAUAAGCUCUUAGAAGAAAGGAUUGUCAAUUUGUUAUGCAUUUUAUAGUGUUUAGCACAAGAGGGGUGAGGUAUCUGGAUAUUUCUGGAACCUGGAAAAUAAGUUAACAUUAUCAAGAAAUAAAAACAUCCCUGAGGCAAAUGCCAGAACUUCCAAAUGGUUUUGCAAGAUACAGUUCCAAAGAAUUGGAAUUUU
This is a long non-coding RNA of Gallus gallus (chicken), 1821 nucleotides long. The record is from Ensembl. Lineage: Eukaryota; Metazoa; Chordata; Aves; Galliformes; Phasianidae.